UACGUAGGGUGCAAGCGUUGUCCGGAAUUAUUGGGCGUAAAGAGCGUGUAGGCGGCCCGAUUAGUCCGCUGUGAAAGUCCAGGGCUCAACCCUGGAAUGCCGGUGGAUACUGUCGGGCUAGAGUCCGGAAGGGGCGAGUGGAAUUCCUGGUGUAGCGGUGAAAUGCGCAGAUAUCAGGAGGAACACCGGUGGCGAAGGCGGUUCUCUGGGCCUUACCUGACGCUGAGGAGCGAAAGCGUGGGGAGCGAACAGG
This 253-nucleotide ribosomal RNA is filed under the name uncultured bacterium. Its description in RNAcentral is "partial 16S ribosomal RNA". It matches the Rfam family "Bacterial small subunit ribosomal RNA", at positions 524 to 776 of the family's 1533-position model. The record is from RNAcentral.